UACGUAGGGUGCGAGCGUUGUCCGGAAUUACUGGGCGUAAAGAGCUCGUAGGCGGUUUGUCGCGUCGUCUGUGAAAACCCGCAGCUCAACUGUGGGCUUGCAGGCGAUACGGGCAGACUUGAGUACUGCAGGGGAGACUGGAAUUCCUGGUGUAGCGGUGAAAUGCGCAGAUAUCAGGAGGAACACCGGUGGCGAAGGCGGGUCUCUGGGCAGUAACUGACGCUGAGGAGCGAAAGCGUGGGUAGCAAACAGG
RNAcentral lists this ribosomal RNA (253 nucleotides) under uncultured prokaryote. Its description in RNAcentral is "partial 16S ribosomal RNA". It matches the Rfam family "Bacterial small subunit ribosomal RNA", at positions 524 to 776 of the family's 1533-position model. The record is from RNAcentral.